AACGCUAGCGACAGGCUUAACACAUGCAAGUCGAGGGGUAACAGGGUAGCAAUACCGCUGACGACCGGCGCACGGGUGAGUAACGCGUAUGCAACCUGCCUAUAACUGGGGAAUAGCUCCCUGAAAGGGGAAUUAACACCGCAUAAUACUAUUGAUUCGCAUGGAUUAGUAGUUAAAUGUAGCGAUACAGGUUAUAGAUGGGCAUGCGUGACAUUAGCUAGUUGGUGAGGUAACGGCUCACCAAGGCUACGAUGUCUAGGGGUUCUGAGAGGAAGGUCCCCCACACUGGUACUGAGACACGGACCAGACUCCUACGGGAGGCAGCAGUGAGGAAUAUUGGUCAAUGGGCGCAAGCCUGAACCAGCCAUGUCGCGUGCAGGACGACUGCCCUAUGGGUUGUAAACUGCUUUUAUAGUAGAAGAAACACAUCUACGUGUAGAUGUCUGCCAGUAUACUAUGAAUAAGCAUCGGCUAACUCCGUG
RNAcentral lists this ribosomal RNA (482 nucleotides) under uncultured bacterium. RNAcentral describes it as "bacterial SSU rRNA". It matches the Rfam family "Bacterial small subunit ribosomal RNA", at positions 32 to 507 of the family's 1533-position model. The record is from RNAcentral.